RNAcentral lists this ribosomal RNA (216 nucleotides) under Glomeromycotina sp. RNAcentral describes it as "partial small subunit ribosomal RNA". The stretch from base 40 to 216 matches the Rfam family "Eukaryotic small subunit ribosomal RNA", at positions 686 to 864 of the family's 1831-position model. The record is from RNAcentral. Lineage: Eukaryota; Fungi; Glomeromycota.
GGGUCAGUAGGUUGGUCGUGCCACCGGUACGUACUGGUCUCACUGAUUCCUUCUUCCUGAAGAACCGUAAUGCCAUUAAUUUGGUGUUGCGGGGAAACAGGGCUGUUACUUUGAAAAAAUUAGAGUGUUUAAAGCAAGCUAACGCUUGAAUACAUUAGCAUGGAAUAAUGAAAUAGGACGAUCGAUCCUAUUUUGUUGGUUUCUAGGAUUGACGUA